RNAcentral lists this ribosomal RNA (468 nucleotides) under uncultured bacterium. RNAcentral's name for it is "partial 16S ribosomal RNA". It matches the Rfam family "Bacterial small subunit ribosomal RNA", at positions 28 to 507 of the family's 1533-position model. The record is from RNAcentral.
GACGAACGCUGGCGGCGUGCUUAACACAUGCAAGUCGAACGGAAAGGCCCUGCUUUUGUGGGGUGCUCGAGUGGCGAACGGGUGAGUAACACGUGAGUAACCUGCCCUUGACUUUGGGAUAACUUCAGGAAACUGGGGCUAAUACCGGAUAGUAGCUCCUGCUGCAUGGUGGGGGUUGGAAAGUUUCGGCGGUUGGGGAUGGACUCGCGGCUUAUCAGCUUGUUGGUGGGGUAGUGGCUUACCAAGGCUUUGACGGGUAGCCGGCCUGAGAGGGUGACCGGCCACAAUAGGACUGAGAUACGGCGCAGACUGGAACAGGAGGCAGCAGGGGGGAAUAUUACACAAUGGGCGGGAGCCUGAUGAGAAAACGCCGCGUGCGGGAUGACGGCCUUCGGGUUGUGAACCGCUUUCGCCUGUGACGAAGCGUGAGUGACGGUAAUGGGUGAAGAAGCACCGGCUAACUACGUG